AGAGUUUGAUCCUGGCUCAGGAUGAACGCUGGCGGCGUGCCUAACACAUGCAAGUCGAACGAAGCACUUUCUUUUGAUUCUUCGGAUGAAGAAGACUGUGACUGAGUGGCGGACGGGUGAGUAACGCGUGGGUAACCUGCCCCAUACAGGGGGAUAACAGUUAGAAAUGACUGCUAAUACCGCAUAAGCGCACAGCUUCGCAUGAAGCAGUGUGAAAAACUCCGGUGGUAUGGGAUGGACCCGCGUCUGAUUAGGUAGUUGGUGGGGUAACGGCCUACCAAGCCAACGAUCAGUAGCCGGCCUGAGAGGGUGGACGGCCACAUUGGGACUGAGACACGGCCCAAACUCCUACGGGAGGCAGCAGUGGGGAAUAUUGCACAAUGGGGGAAACCCUGAUGCAGCGACGCCGCGUGAAGGAAGAAGUAUUUCGGUAUGUAAACUUCUAUCAGCAGGGAAGAAAAUGACGGUACCUGACUAAGAAGCCCCGGCUAACUACGUGCCAGCAGCCGCGGU
Molecule: ribosomal RNA, 513 nt
Filed under: uncultured chicken cecal bacterium
Lineage: Bacteria
Description: bacterial SSU rRNA
Rfam family: Bacterial small subunit ribosomal RNA
Source: RNAcentral